This 866-nucleotide ribosomal RNA is filed under the name uncultured euryarchaeote. RNAcentral describes it as "bacterial SSU rRNA". It matches the Rfam family "Archaeal small subunit ribosomal RNA", at positions 460 to 1337 of the family's 1478-position model. The record is from RNAcentral. Lineage: Archaea; Methanobacteriati; Methanobacteriota.
AGCCGCCGCGGUAAUACCAGCAGUUCAAGUUGCAUCCCUUUUUAUUGGGUCUAAAACAUCCGUAGCUUGCCGUUUAAGUCUCUUGUGAAAUCCUACGUCUCAAGCGUAGCGAAGUGCAGGAGAUACUGGGCGGCUAGAGAUCGGUAGACGUAAGCAGUACGCCACGGGUAACGGUCAAAUGUGUUAAUCCGUGGUGGACUAACGAUGAGCGAAGGCAGCUUACGAGGACGAAUCUGACAGUGAGGGAUGAAGGCCAGGGGCGCAAAACGGAUUAGAUACCCGUGUAGUCCUGGCAGUAAACACUGUUCACUAAACAUCGGGCCCUCUUCGGGAGGAUUCGGUGCUGAAGGGAAGCCGAAGAGUGAACUACCUGGGAAGUAUAGUCGCAAGAUCGAAACUUAAAGGAAUUGGCGGGGAGACAUACAACGAGUGACGCGUGCGGUUCAAUUAGAUUUUACACCGUGAACCUCACCAGGAGCGACAGCAGGAUGAAGGUCAGUCUAAAGGGCUUACCUGACACGCUGAGCGGAGAUGCAUGGCCGACGUCAGCCUGUGCUGUGAAGUGACCUGUUAAAUCAGGUAACAGGCGAGACCCGUGUCGAUAAUUACUACAGAAAUGGGUACCUUAUCGAGACUGCCUUGGUAACAAGGAGGAAGGUGCGGGCUACGUUAGGUGAGUACGUCCCUAAUCCCCUGGGCUACACGCGCGCGGCAAUGGUAUGUUCAAAUGGAUGCGACUCCGAAAGGAGAAGCUAAUCCCCUAAAGCAUAUCUCAGUCCAGAUUGAGGGUUGCAACCCACCCUCAUGACGUUGGAAUUCGUAGUAAUCGGAUAUUAGCACUGUCCGGUGAAUAAGUCCCUGUCUCU